RNAcentral lists this ribosomal RNA (497 nucleotides) under uncultured bacterium. RNAcentral describes it as "partial 16S ribosomal RNA". It matches the Rfam family "Bacterial small subunit ribosomal RNA", at positions 28 to 507 of the family's 1533-position model. The record is from RNAcentral.
GAUGAACGCUGGCGGCGUGCCUAAUACAUGCCAGUCGAGCGAACGGACGAGAAGCUUGCUUCUCUGAUGUUAGCGGCGGACGGGUGAGUAACACGUGGAUAACCUACCUAUAAGACUGGGAUAACUUCGGGAAACCGGAGCUAAUACCGGAUAAUACUUUGAACCGCAUGGUUCAAAAGUGAAAGACGGUCUUGCUGUCACUUAUAGAUGGAUCCGCGCUGCAUUAGCUAGUUGGUAAGGUAACGGCUUACCAAGGCAACGAUGCAUAGCCGACCUGAGAGGGUGAUCGGCCACACUGGAACUGAGACACGGUCCAGACUCCUACGGGAGGCAGCAGUAGGGAAUCUUCCGCAAUGGGCGAAAGCCUGACGGAGCAACGCCGCGUGAGUGAUGAAGGUCUUCGGAUCGUAAAACUCUGUUAUUAGGGAAGAACAUAUGUGUAAGUAACUGUGCACAUCUUGACGGUACCUAAUCAGAAAGCCACGGCUAACUACGUG